UACAUAAUCAAAUGGUGAAAAUAUGGCAAAGUGUGCAAAACAAAGCCCUUGGCAAUGCCUGGGGCCCUGCCCUGGCAGGGGAGGCUGUGGCAGGCCCUUCCCUAACACUGGUUUCAGAGCUGGGCUCCUACUGUAAGGGUUCCUCAGGCGUCUGACCCUCUCACAUCUUGAACCUCUUGUUUAAAGCUUUCUCCAGGUACUCCUGAAUCCACUUUAGCUUCGGGUCAAUGCACACUUGUCUGUUGUUGUUCUUCAGCCGGGCUACAAUCUGAAGGGCACAGUUUGGAGUGUUGAGAAUUUUGAGAUGCUUGACGUUGGCUCUGGCAACAUGGCUUUCGAAGAAUCGGCAUGGGCAUCUGUAGCUCAGGCUGACGGGCUUCCCGUCGCUGAGGCAGAGCGCGGUCAGCACGAGGACCAGCACGACCACGACCUUGGCGUUCAUGGCGCGGGCGGGCGGGCGGGCGGGCGGACGAGCGCGGGUCGGGGGCCGGACGCCGAGCGGGCAAUGCGGCUGACGGAGAG
This 522-nucleotide long non-coding RNA is filed under the name Homo sapiens (human). Its description in RNAcentral is "LNC_000441". The record is from RNAcentral. Lineage: Eukaryota; Metazoa; Chordata; Mammalia; Primates; Hominidae.